CCACUGGAAGCAAGAAGAGCAGUUCUUCAUCUCUUCAUUCUUUCAUUUAGUGAGUAUUCAUUGAGUGUUUUACUCUGUGCCAGCACAGAGCUAGGUACUGGGGAACACCAAAAUGAACAAGAGAGCAUUAAUUCCCUGCUCUCAGAUUUUACCAUCUAACUGGGUCUACAGGCAAGUAAACUGGCAAGAACACUUUGUUAUAAGAACUUGCAUUCUAUCAAGUAACUGAAAGCCUUCCCAUCACCAUCCUUUGCAUCUGGGAACAAAGUAGUGCUGCCCAAGAUGUUUUUGUGGCAGAGAAGAUUAUGAAACAAACUUCCCCAGCUCUUUGGAGAGACAGAAAAGAAUGGCUAAGAAGAGCUGACUCUCUCAGCGAUAGAAAUGCAUGCUUUCAGCAAGAUACCCUCUAAGGGAUAUGAAACUUAUGUUUCCAAGGCAUUGUGUCUCCAGGAACUAGGAAAUGUUUUGAAAAUGAAGCAAAAUUGCUUGAUGAGUAAGAAGCUGAGCUAUGGUUUCUUCACUGAGAUCAGCUGUCUCCAGGAACUUGAGUAACUGUCUCCAACCCAGUGUGUGGAUGAGGAGAGCAGAAGGACCUUAGGUAAUCCAGGAUUUAGCAAAACACAAGAUUGGCCUCCUGAUAAUCCAUUCCUUGUAUAUAGCAACAAAACUACAAUGAAAAGUGUACCAAAAAAUCUCCUCCAAGUAAGAGCAUUAAGUUUUACAAUAACAAGAUCAAUAACAUGCUGGACCCAGGAUGUUUUGUGGGCAAUGCUUCCCCAUUAUCCUAGUUACCUCAAAAGAUUCUAGAUGAACCACAAGCAUUCCCAUUUGUCUCUGAAGUUCAUCAUGGAUCUGUCAUCCAUGAAUUCAGCUAACUAUUUGAGAAGUGAUUUAUAUCUCUAUCGAAUAAUAAGUAACAUAUGUUAUUUACUGUGUGAAGUGGUUUAUUCUUGUUUGAACUAAAUUUCUGUCUCUUGAAUUUUACAGGUGAUUUUUCUCAUUCAAUUAAAUCACAUUUGUAAACAAAUGUGUUUUCUUCCCCCACACUUUGCAUAAUUUUGUAGAUCUCAACCUCUGCUUUUCCAGAUUAAAGAGUAUUUUUUGUUGUUUUUUUGUGGUUUUUUUUUUUUUGGCCAUUUUAGUAGGACUAUCAAGAAAACCUAUAAAUGUCAGAAUCUCAGAAGUAGAGCAAAGAUCCUUUUUUUUUUUUUUUUUUUUUUUUUUUGAGAUAGAGUCUCACUCAGUCGCCAAGGCUGGAGUGCAGUGGUAUGAUCUCAGCUCACUGCAACCUCCGCCUCCUGGAUUCAAGUGAUUCUCCUGCCUCAGCCUCCUGAGGAGAUGAGAUUACAGGUGCCCGCCACCACGCCUGGCUAAUUUUUUUGUAUUUUUAGUAGAGACGGGUUUUGCCAUGUUGGCCAGGCUGGUCUCAAACUCCUGACCUCAAGUGAUCCGCCCUCCUUGACCUCCCAAAGUGCUGGGAUUACAGGCGUGUUUGCUCACUUCUUAAUAGGGAAUCUUUGCAGUGAACAUGGAGAUACAUAAUGGUCUAGAAAGAAAUAAAAUAUACUGCAUUGUUUGGAGGAACAUUUCCAGAGAGCAAGGCUUAUUUGAUUUGACUGCACAGGCCUAUUCAGCAGUUUUAUUAAAGGUUUCUCAAAUUGUCAAUCUCCCUAUCUUACCCCUAUUAUUGUUCAGGUGAAGAAAAUAGUUACUUAGUAAUUAGGCUAAAUCAGAACAUUUAGUCUCUGCCUACGUGAUCUCAUUUCAUCGUCACCACACCUCUGAAAAAUAGGCAAGACUAUCCCUGUUUUACAAAUAAGCAACUGAGGCUUAGAGAGAAGUUAAAACCCAAUACUGGGUUUGAAUCCAGUCCUGACUCUAAGUACCCAGAUGAGUAGCUGAAAUUGCUUUCUAGCCCAUCUCAUUGGAUGGAUUCUUACUCCUUUAGGUUGAUCCUUAUCUUUUAGGGUAUGGAUAUAUCCUUAACAUUCACAGUUCCUUUAUACCAGCUAUGCAUUUGAAGUAUCUUAGGUAAAAACCAUAAUGACAGGAAUGUAUCUACUGCAUCUGUCUCUGUAGCCAUUUUUAUAUUUUGGCAGUUCUGUUUGGAAUGAGAUUAUAGCACAUUCACUAGCAUUAAUCCCAUACGAGUUAAAGUGAAUGGUAGUAAUGUUAUUAAUUAAAAACAUGAGAUGCUACCAGUUUUUAAUUUGGAUGGUUGAAAUCGUAUGUAUGGCCAUUUUCCACUUGUAAAUUCAAUCUUUUAUCCCCAUGAAGCAUCUAAAAUGAGAGAAAUAAAAAUACUGUUGUUAAACAUUUGGGAGAUUAUUUUGUAAGCCAGUGAAAACAGAAUCUUUCAUUCGUUUCACCAAUAGUGGGAAGGUUUUCUUUCUAAUUUUUCUGUGUAUAUUCCCUUGGGAAUGAGUUCACAUAACACAAAAUAAUAUUCUUUUUUGUCCCCCACAAAAAACACUAUUAGUUCCACAUGGUGACAUCCAUCUCCCUUUUCAAAAAUGCCCUGAGAGCUCCCCGGACAGACUCAAUAUGAUUCAAAAACAUAAGGAAUGGCUUAUUUUAACUUUUGUACUAAAGUCUAAGGCAAGACAACUUUUAAAAUAAUACACAUGGUCGAAAUUGAAGACUAUUUUCUCUAUAUCAUGAUAGUUUCUAAAUUAAAACAAAUUUCUCCACUUUCUUGGGCCUUUGUGAAAAUGUGAACCCAUUGGGGUACCUGGACCAAAAGGCAGUGCCUCCUCCCUCCCCACAGCCAGGGGGAUUAUGGUUGCAACAUGGCAGUCAAGUUCUGAGGACAUAGCCAGGGGCUAAAGCAGAAUUUUUAACUAUUAAACAUCUACUAAAGUAUCUGUGCUCCUUGAAAAGUAUGAUAUAUAGAACAGUUUUCCCCUAAA
This is a long non-coding RNA of Pan troglodytes (chimpanzee), 2909 nucleotides long. NCBI's taxonomy places the organism in Eukaryota, Metazoa, Chordata, Mammalia, Primates, Hominidae. The record is from Ensembl.